AGACCCGAAACCCGGUGAUCUAGCCAUGGGCAGGUUGAAGGUUGGGUAACACUAACUGGAGGACCGAACCGACUAAUGUUGAAAAAUUAGCGGAUGACCUGUGGCUGGGGGUGAAAGGCCAAUCAAACCGGGAGAUAGCUGGUUCUCCCCGAAAGCUAUUUAGGUAGCGCCUCGUGAAUUCAUCUCCGGGGGUAGAGCACUGUUUCGGCUAGGGGGCCAUCCCGGCUUACCAACCCGAUGCAAACUGCGAAUACCGGAGAAUGUUAUCACGGGAGACACACGGCGGGUGCUAACGUCCGUCGUGAAGAGGGAAACAACCCAGACCGCCAGCUAAGGUCCCAAAGUCAUGGUUAAGUGGGAAACGAUGUGGGAAGGCCCAGACAGCCAGGAUGUUGGCUUAGAAGCAGCCAUCAUUUAAAGAAAGCGUAAUAGCUCACUGGUCGAGUCGGCCUGCGCGGAAGAUGUAACGGGGCUAAACCAUGCACCGAAGCUGCGGCAGCGACGCUGAUGCGUUGUUGGGUAGGGGAGCGUUCUGUAAGCCUGUGAAGGUGGCCUGUGAGGGUUGCUGGAGGUAUCAGAAGUGCGAAUGCUGACAUAAGUAACGAUAAAGCGGGUGAAAAGCCCGCUCGCCGGAAGACCAAGGGUUCCUGUCC
RNAcentral lists this ribosomal RNA (653 nucleotides) under Salmonella enterica. RNAcentral's name for it is "partial 23S ribosomal RNA". It matches the Rfam family "Bacterial large subunit ribosomal RNA", at positions 711 to 1360 of the family's 2925-position model. Lineage: Bacteria; Pseudomonadati; Pseudomonadota; Gammaproteobacteria; Enterobacterales; Enterobacteriaceae. The record is from RNAcentral.